RNAcentral lists this transfer RNA (72 nucleotides) under Camelus bactrianus (Bactrian camel). It matches the Rfam family "tRNA". From Rfam's summary of the family: Transfer RNA (tRNA) molecules are approximately 80 nucleotides in length. RNAcentral also lists the same sequence under 1 other name. Lineage: Eukaryota; Metazoa; Chordata; Mammalia; Artiodactyla; Camelidae. The record is from Rfam by way of RNAcentral.
GAGGGUGUGGCUCAGUGACAGAGCACAUGCUUAGCAUGCAUGAGUUCCUGGGUUCAAUCCCCAGUACUUCCA